This is a small nuclear RNA of Nannospalax galili (Upper Galilee mountains blind mole rat), 188 nucleotides long. Its record names the gene U2. It matches the Rfam family "U2 spliceosomal RNA". Rfam says of the family: U2 is a small nuclear RNA (snRNA) component of the spliceosome (involved in pre-mRNA splicing). The record is from Ensembl. Lineage: Eukaryota; Metazoa; Chordata; Mammalia; Rodentia; Spalacidae.
AGCACUCCUCAGUCUUUUGGUUAAGAUCAAGUGCAAUAUCUAUUCUUUGUUUAAUAUUUGAUGCAUCCUCUAUCUGAUGACAGUAUAUUAAAUGGGUUUUUGGAACUGAAAGAAGGAAAUGGAGCUUGCUCCAUCUACUCCACACAUUAACCUGGUACCGCACACCCUCCAGGAAUGGUGCAGCCCCU